RNAcentral lists this ribosomal RNA (497 nucleotides) under uncultured bacterium. RNAcentral describes it as "partial 16S ribosomal RNA". It matches the Rfam family "Bacterial small subunit ribosomal RNA", at positions 28 to 507 of the family's 1533-position model. The record is from RNAcentral.
GAUGAACGCUGGCGGCGUGCCUAAUACAUGCAAGUCGAGCGAACAGACGAGGAGCUUGCUCCUCUGACGUUAGCGGCGGACGGGUGAGUAACACGUGGAUAACCUACCUAUAAGACUGGGAUAACUUCGGGAAACCGGAGCUAAUACCGGAUAAUAUAUUGAACCGCAUGGUUCAAUAGUGAAAGACGGUUUUGCUGUCACUUAUAGAUGGAUCCGCGCCGCAUUAGCUAGUUGGUAAGGUAACGGCUUACCAAGGCAACGAUGCUGAGCCGACCUGAGAGGGUGAUCGGCCACACUGGAACUGAGGCACGGUCCAGACUCCUACGGGAGGCAGCAGUAGGGAAUCUUCCGCAAUGGGCGAAAGCCUGACGGAGCAACGCCGCGUGAGUGAUGAAGGUCUUCGGAUCGUAAAACUCUGUUAUUAGGGAAGAACAAAUGUGUAAGUAACUAUGCACGUCUUGACGGUACCUAAUCAGAAGGCCACGGCUAACUACGUG